GCCAUGUGCAGAAGGGAGAUGACAGACAGAAAUAUCAGAAGUGCGGGAUGCACGUGGGGGAAUACAGAUGGGGAGGCACAGGGAAAAGACCAAAACAUUAGGUGAGUAGUUAAUAGACUUCAAGGAGUGAAUACAAAAGCUAGCAGCUCUUAGAGGAGAAAUUCAAUGGGGACGUGUAGCUUUUUAACCCUGCAGAUGGUUUCCCAUUCAGCCUGCUUCCUCACCCCACUUUACCACCGCUGCGGAGACCCUAAACCAGCUGCCCUGCCCCCACGCCACUCCAACUACCUCUUGUCUGAGGGGUAGAGUUCAACAGUCAACACGUCCAGCGCGUUCCAGGAUGCGAUGCUGACCCCCCCAAAAAGGCAGAGCAGAGCGAUCAUGGCUGACUCGCUGUUCCCAAAAGACAGGAAGAAGCAGGAGACACAGGACAUCACGCUGGAGCCAGCUAGAGCCAGGAAAGGAGGGAGCAGCAUGAACCUGGCCAAGCGGCGCCCGUCCACAGCCCGCCCUGUGCCAUCUAGUAGCUAUGGGCCAAGCAGCUUGACGCAUAUUAAUAUGCAUUGAUCUACUAUGUCACCCCUGGGUGACACAGCUGGGCUCAAGUAACUUGCCCAAGAGAGCCUUCAAUGAAGCCCGCUCCCUCCCCGCAUCUUGCAGCCAAGACCUAAGCAGAAGACAGGAGAGAACCUUCUCCAGCGAAACAACUCCUUCCGAAUAAGACCCUGUUUGAAUGAGUUUUGCCCUCUUCAAAAGUACACCGAUAACAACGCAAGAUCUGCUUUAAUUCCCGCUUAAAGGGCCCUGGAGAGCUCAGCGUGUGAACCCUGAGUGAGGAAACCUAGGGAGUGAGGAACGUCCCUUCUCCCCUCCGCAAGGUCCCCUCAACCCCUUGGCCCGGCAGACACCAGCCACAGCGCCUUACCGGUGUUAUAGAACACAGUGUUGAUGAAUGUGCAGUUGCGGAAAAAUGUGUUGCUCGAAGUCACAUCCUCGAAAUAACACUCCUCAAACAGGGAGUCUUCAAAGGACACUGACUUCAGACGGAGCCCAAUGAACCUGCAAGGCCAGAACAAUGAGAAGCUCUUCCCCUCAUCCUCAUCGCCUCCUCCAAGACUCACUCCCUUGGGUGUGAGGAGAAACCACGGGUAUUUACUCCCACACACCCUGUCUCUGAACUCCCAGACUCACGAAAGAGACGAGGGGUAAAAGGGACAGGGAAGAAGUGGAAUGUAAAGAUCCCCACGUACUUGUCAUUGAAGUACUGUCCCCCUCUGUGGA
Molecule: long non-coding RNA, 1281 nt
Organism: Suricata suricatta (meerkat)
Lineage: Eukaryota; Metazoa; Chordata; Mammalia; Carnivora; Herpestidae
Exons: 5
Source: RefSeq, a predicted model, not a curated record